UCAUUCCUACGGGGGGCAGCAGUGAGGAAUAUUGGUCAAUGGGCGCGAGCCUGAACCAGCCAAGUAGCGUGAAGGAUGACUGCUCUACGGGUUGUAAACUUCUUUUAUAAAGGAAUAAAGUGAGGCACGUGUGCCUUUUUGUAUGUAUUUUAUGAAUAAGGAUCGGCUAACUCCGUGCUAGCAGCCGCGGUAAUACGGAGGAUCCGAGCGUUAUCCGGAUUUAUUGGGUUUAAAGGGAGCGUAGAUGGGUUGUUAAGUCAGUUGUGAAGGUUUGCGG
This 277-nucleotide ribosomal RNA is filed under the name uncultured bacterium. RNAcentral describes it as "partial 16S ribosomal RNA". It matches the Rfam family "Bacterial small subunit ribosomal RNA", at positions 333 to 607 of the family's 1533-position model. The record is from RNAcentral.